This 803-nucleotide ribosomal RNA is filed under the name uncultured bacterium. RNAcentral describes it as "bacterial SSU rRNA". It matches the Rfam family "Bacterial small subunit ribosomal RNA", at positions 62 to 860 of the family's 1533-position model. The record is from RNAcentral.
UCGACGGCAGCACGGGAGCAAUCCUGGUGGCGAGUGGCGAACGGGUGAGUAAUGUAUCGGAACGUACCUUUCAGUGGGGGAUAACGUAGCGAAAGUUACGCUAAUACCGCAUAUUCUGUGAGCAGGAAAGCAGGGGAUCGCAAGACCUUGCGCUGAUUGAGCGGCCGAUAUCAGAUUAGCUAGUUGGUGAGGUAAAGGCUCACCAAGGCGACGAUCUGUAGCGGGUCUGAGAGGAUGAUCCGCCACACUGGAACUGAGACACGGUCCAGACUCCUACGGGAGGCAGCAGUGGGGAAUUUUGGACAAUGGGGGCAACCCUGAUCCAGCCAUGCCGCGUGAGUGAAGAAGGCCUUCGGGUUGUAAAGCUCUUUCAGCCGGGAAGAAAUCACAUGGGUUAAUACCCUGUGUGGAUGACGGUACCGGAAUAAGAAGCACCGGCUAACUACGUGCCAGCAGCCGCGGUAAUACGUAGGGUGCGAGCGUUAAUCGGAAUUACUGGGCGUAAAGCGUGCGCAGGCGGUUUGUUAAGAUAGGCGUGAAAUCCCCGGGCUCAACCUGGGAACUGCGUUUAUGACUGGCAGGCUAGAGUAUGGCAGAGGGGGGUGGAAUUCCACGUGUAGCAGUGAAAUGCGUAGAGAUGUGGAGGAACACCGAUGGCGAAGGCAGCCCCCUGGGCCAAUACUGACGCUCAUGCACGAAAGCGUGGGUAGCAAACAGGAUUAGAUACCCUGGUAGUCCACGCCCUAAACGAUGUCAACUAGGUGUUGGGUGGGUAAAACCAUUUAGUACCGGAGCUAACGCGU